Long non-coding RNA from Octopus bimaculoides (California two-spot octopus), 671 nucleotides. RefSeq lists it as uncharacterized. NCBI's taxonomy places the organism in Eukaryota, Metazoa, Mollusca, Cephalopoda, Octopoda, Octopodidae. The record is from RefSeq and is a predicted model, not a curated record.
CUGAGUAAACAAAACCAGCUUCUGUUUUCUGAACUGUAAACAACCAAAAAUGUUGUUGCUUUCUCUCUGUGAUAUUGAUGAUGUAAUAAUGUUGUGGGAGAAGAGAAGAAUAAAAUAUGGCUACAGCAAAACAAGCUAGAAUGAAUUGUAGGCAAUAUAGUGUGGACUAUCUUAAGUAUGGUCUUGUGCCAUACCAAAAAACAAGAAGCAACCAACGUUCCAACUGGGUGAGAAAGUUUUUUUCAAACAAAACCAUGAAACCUUCCAAAAUGCCCUCUGAAAAAGCAGAGAAAACGUUGAUAUAUUCCCAGUCACUUGAAGAAAACUUUCUGAAGUGAAAAAUCAUUGGAAAUAUGUUUGCUAGCAUUUCACAAGCUAGUGGUGGAUUGUGUGCAUCAUACAGCACCUCAUUGCUAAUUGCUAGACCUGGCAAGCUUCAUACAACAGGAGAGAAGUUUAUUAUGCCAGCAAUAAGAGCAGUUUUGCACACAAUUGUAUGUAAGUCACCUGAAGAAAUUAUUAAAGCUAUUCUUUUAAGUGAUAAUUCUGUUGAAAGAAUAGUGGAUAAAAUGCAAACAUUGAAGACAUGUUGUGCAGCAUACUUAGAAGAACUGAAUUUAGCCUACAGUUAGAUGAGUCACCUCUACAAGGCAAUAAAAGUUUUCUUCUUG